UACGGAGGGGCGAGCGUUAUUCGGAAUUAUUGGGCGUAAAGGGCGCGUAGGCGGCUGUACAAGUCAAAGGUGAAAUCCCUCGGCUCAACUGAGGAACUGCCUUUGAAACUGUACGGCUUGAGGCCGGGAGGGGUAGCGGAAUUCCAGUGUAGCGGUGAAAUGCGUAGAUACUGGGAGGAACACCAGUGGCGAAGGCGGCUACCUGGGUCAAGAUUGACGCUCAUGACACGAAAGCGUGGGGAGCAAACAGG
This 251-nucleotide ribosomal RNA is filed under the name uncultured bacterium. RNAcentral's name for it is "partial 16S ribosomal RNA". It matches the Rfam family "Bacterial small subunit ribosomal RNA", at positions 524 to 776 of the family's 1533-position model. The record is from RNAcentral.